GACGAACGCUGGCGGCGUGCCUAAUACAUGCAAGUCGAGCGGAUCUUUGAGAGCUUGCUCUCAAAGAUUAGCGGCGGACGGGUGAGUAACACGUGGGUAACCUGCCUGUAAGAUUGGGAUAACUCCGGGAAACCGGAGCUAAUACCGGAUAACAUUUUGAACCGCAUGGUUCGAAAUUGAAAGGUGGCUUUUGCUACCACUUACAGAUGGACCCGCGGCGCAUUAGCUAGUUGGUGAGGUAAUGGCUCACCAAGGCAACGAUGCGUAGCCGACCUGAGAGGGUGAUCGGCCACACUGGGACUGAGACACGGCCCAG
Molecule: ribosomal RNA, 316 nt
Filed under: uncultured bacterium
Lineage: Bacteria
Description: bacterial SSU rRNA
Rfam family: Bacterial small subunit ribosomal RNA
Source: RNAcentral